CUUGGCGACUCUUAAGUCUUAAAGCUCCCUCAUUUUUAAUGGUGCUUUAAGGAAAAGAGCUCUAAAAAGCCUUUGUAUUAAGAGUAUGCCGGGGAAGGUUUUCCGGUUUAUCCCGGAGGGCUUGUAGCUCAGUUGGUUAGAGCGCGCGCUUGAUAAGCGUGAGGUCGGAGGUUCAAGUCCUCCCAGGCCCACCAAUCACUCUAUCAAUUUCAUAAAGCGCUAGCGAGCUUGCUUAUAGGAUAUUUGCCUAUCGAGUCUGCAAACUGCUAAAAUAAAGUCUACAGACCAAUUCUACAGACCAAUAAAGUCUAAAAAAUUGAAAGAGACGACAUGUCUUGUUCAGGAAUUCCUGAAAGGUAUUUUAAAAAGAACUGAUUUAAAAGCACUGAUCAUUUGUCAUAGGACUUAACCAGUGAUGUCAUCACUUAAAUUUUAUGAGUGAACUUGAAUUUUAUCAGUGAAGUUGCCACUUAAAAUGAAGUCUUAUUGAUGAUGAAGUUCUGUUGAUUCAGUCCGUAGAUGAAAAGUGGUUUGUUUGUCAGGGGUGCAGAGAGCAUUUAUCAUUUGCAAAGAACCUUUGUAAAAUGGAAGAGCUUUGCUGUUUGUUUUCAGCAAUCCAGUGUC
Molecule: unclassified non-coding RNA, 624 nt
Filed under: uncultured Bartonella sp.
Lineage: Bacteria; Pseudomonadati; Pseudomonadota; Alphaproteobacteria; Hyphomicrobiales; Bartonellaceae
Description: partial 16S-23S ribosomal RNA intergenic spacer
Rfam family: tRNA (bases 118-191)
Source: RNAcentral